This 1356-nucleotide ribosomal RNA is filed under the name uncultured marine eukaryote. RNAcentral's name for it is "SSU rRNA". It matches the Rfam family "Eukaryotic small subunit ribosomal RNA", at positions 411 to 1779 of the family's 1831-position model. The record is from RNAcentral.
CACUUCUAAGGAAGGCAGCAGGCGCGCAAAUUACCCAAUCCUGACUCAGGGAGGUAGUGACAAGAAAUAACAAUAAACCGGCUUAUGCCGGUUUAAUUGGAAUGAGUACAAUUUAAACAUCUUAACGAGGAACAAUUGGAGGGCAAGUCUGGUGCCAGCAGCCGCGGUAAUUCCAGCUCCAAUAGCGUAUACUAAAGUUGUUGCAGUUAAAAAGCUCGUAGUUGGAUUUCUGUGGGGACGGAGCGGCCGGCCGCAACACGCGGUUCGAGCUAGCGCUUUCCCUACAUCCUGCCGCGAACCGUGCUACCAUUAGUUUGGUGGCGCCGGGGAUCGGCUCGAUUACUUUGAGAAAAAUAGAGUGUUCAAAGCAGGCCACACGCCUUGAAUAAGUUAGCAUGGAAUAAUAACUAAGGACUUCGGUUCUAUUUUGUUGGUGUUCGGGACUGAAGUAAUGAUUGAUAGGGACAGUUGGGGCGGUCUGUAUUCCAAAGCGAGAGGUGAAAUUCUUAGACCUUCGGAAGACAAACAGCUGCGAAAGCGUUCCGCAAGGAUGUUCCCUUUGAUCAAGAACGAAAGUUGGGGGAUCGAAGACGAUCAGAUACCGUCGUAGUCUCAACUAUAAACUAUACCAGCUAGAGAUCGGCCAACGUUAUUCUAUACCGACUUGGUCGGCACCUUAUGAGAAAUCAAAGCAUCUGGGUUCCGGGGGGAGUAUGGUCGCAAGGCUGAAACUUAAAGGAAUUGACGGAAGGGCACCACCAGCCGUGGAGCCUGUGGCUUAAUUUGACUCAACACGGGAAAACUUACCAGGUCCAGACAUAGUAAGGAUUGACAGAUUGAUAGCUCUUUCUUGAUUCUGUGGGUGGUGGUGCAUGGCCGUUCUUAGUUGGUGGAGUGAUUUGUCUGGUUAAUUCCGUUAACGAACGAGGCCCCAGCCUGCUAAAUAGCGCGCGUGAGCUUUGCUCGCGGCGAGCUUCUUAGAGGGACUAUGAUGCGCGAUAGCACAUGGAAGUUUGGGGCAAUAACAGGUCUGUGAUGCCCUUAGAUGUUCUGGGCCGCACACGGGCUACACUGGCGCCUGCAACAAGCAUAUCAGCUGGCCCGAGAGGGUCUUGGCUAAUCUUUUGAACCGGCGCCGUGCUUGGGAUUGACCUUUGCAAUUGUUGGUCAUGCAACGAGGAAUGCCUUGUAAACGCGAGUCAUCAGCUCGCAUUGAAUACGUCCCUGCCCUUUGUACACACCGCCCGUCGCUCCUACCGAUGAAUGUUCCGAUGAAAUUUUCGGAGAGUGCCUGUGAACUUGGCUCUGCCUUGCGAACGGGAGGCUCAAAGUCACUUAAAUCUGAACAUUUCGAGG